RNAcentral lists this long non-coding RNA (470 nucleotides) under Physcomitrium patens. RNAcentral's name for it is "long non-coding RNA (PPAT_LNC013231)". The record is from RNAcentral. Lineage: Eukaryota; Viridiplantae; Streptophyta; Bryopsida; Funariales; Funariaceae.
UGUGAAAGCCAGUGUUGCCAUCACCUCCUCAAAAGCAGAGCAAAAUAGGGUUGUAGCACUGUUACCAGGCCGUUUGGCAGGUUUGUUCCCACUUCUUCCCCGUGCAGCACAGUACAUUCGGGAAUCGGGUUUCUAAAUAUAAACAAAACUCGAUGGCGUAUGGAAAGUUUAACAUUCAUAUAUAUAUAUAUAUAUAUAUAUAUCUAUAUAUUUAAAUAAAAGAGCACGAAUAAAAACAGCGAGAGAGAGAGAGAGAGAGAGAGAGGGUUUGGUGAAGAAAUACUUAAGUUCCAUGUGUCUGUUUGAUUUCACUCAUUCAACCCUAAUCUCGACAGUAGCAAUGGAACUCACCUAACCCCAAGUGUCGUGGGCUUGGUUACCGGGAUUCCAACGCCUCACAUUGAAGAAGAAUUUGCGAUCAACUGGCGACUGUAGUGUAUGCAGCAUUGGAUAUGCAUUGUACUACACCA